This 464-nucleotide ribosomal RNA is filed under the name uncultured bacterium. RNAcentral describes it as "partial 16S ribosomal RNA". It matches the Rfam family "Bacterial small subunit ribosomal RNA", at positions 339 to 795 of the family's 1533-position model. The record is from RNAcentral.
CUACGGGUGGCUGCAGCGGGGAAUAUUGCACAAUGGGCGCAAGCCUGAUGCAGCCAUGCCGCGUGUAUGAAGAAGGCCUUCGGGUUGUAAAGUACUUUCAGCGGGGAGGAAGGGAGUAAAGUUAAUACCUUUGCUCAUUGACGUUACCCGCAGAAGAAGCACCGGCUAACUCCGUGCCAGCAGCCGCGGUAAUACGGAGGGUGCAAGCGUUAAUCGGAAUUACUGUGCGUAAAGCGCACGCAGGCGGUUUGUUAAGUCAGAUGUGAAAUCCCCGGGCUCAACCUGGGAACUGCAUCUGAUACUGGCAAGCUUGAGUCUCGUAGAGGGGGGUAGAAUUCCAGGUGUAGCGGUGAAAUGCGUAGAGAUCUGGAGGAAUACCGGUGGCGAAGGCGGCCCCCUGGACGAAGACUGACGCUCAGGUGCGAAAGCGUGGGGAGCAAACAGGAUUAGAUACCCGCGUAGUC